CGGCCCUCCCCCUCUCCCUCCCCAGACCCCGUCAGCCAUUCACCCCAAAUCUUUGUGCCGCUUCCCUUCCAUUUCUGGCUCUCCCUUCGAUUUUCGAUCGUGAUGCUGAUUUUGCGGUCGUGUGUGUGUGUGGCGUCGGCGGUGGUGGCGGCAAGGGAAACUGAGCAAGGUGGGGAGGAGACUGUGAUGGACAUAAAGGGAUCUAGGGCAUGACUUGGCAGCGAAAAUUUCAGGCGAUGGUUGGCGGCGGGAGAGACUAGAGAGAGAGAGGGCGACGGGGUCUGGGGAGGGGGGGAGGGGGCGGCCAGCGCCGGCCUGGUGGUAGGCGGCGGCAGGUGGGGGAGGGUAAGUUAGGGUUUGGGAGUGGGGAAGGUUGGGGAAGAUGAUGUGGGUGUAUUUUUUUUUCAUUAUUAUUUUUAAAAUAUGGUUCGGUUUUUUUGGUUCGGUUCGGUUCGGGCCUCAAAGGCCUACACAUUUAAACAACAAAUCUCAGGCUUCAACAUCUGGAAAGCCUAAGAAGAAAAAAGUGGUUGGAGUAGGUCUUUAUGUGAAUUUGGAAAGUGGAAGGCAGAUCUUUUAUGGUCACAACCAAUUGUGAUUGAUGAAGGCACAUCCAAUGAGGCAGACCCAAACACAAGAUUCUCCAUACCAAAUGAAGCUCAACUAAGGAAAGAAAGGAGAAAGAGAGGAGAAAACACCUCAACUGGAGUAUCAAUGAAGAAGAAAGAUCAGCCAAGAAACCCAUUUAAAGCACCAAGAAAACAAGCUACAAAAACUGUGGAUCCAGAGCAACCACAUAUGAGAAGCACCAGAGGACAAAAAGUCAUUUCCUAGUUUUAAGUUUAGUGUGGAAA
This is a long non-coding RNA of Salvia miltiorrhiza (redroot sage), 854 nucleotides long. RefSeq lists it as uncharacterized. The record is from RefSeq and is a predicted model, not a curated record. The transcript is spliced from 3 exons. Lineage: Eukaryota; Viridiplantae; Streptophyta; Magnoliopsida; Lamiales; Lamiaceae.